Molecule: long non-coding RNA, 1153 nt
Filed under: Fukomys damarensis (Damara mole-rat)
Lineage: Eukaryota; Metazoa; Chordata; Mammalia; Rodentia; Bathyergidae
Description: lncRNA (ENSFDAG00000025626.1)
Source: RNAcentral
CAUGUUUACAGUACCUGAUGAUUACCUUCUAUACAGUAAGAUGCAUCCAUUUGCCUACAAAUAACUCAAGUUUAUCCAUUAUGGCCGACUAGUAAUAAAUACAUUGUGUUUAAAUACCACACUGUAGGACUGGAGAUUUAGCUCAGUGGAACAGCAUCUACCGGGCAAACACAAGGUUCUGAAUUUGAUCCCCAGUAACACACACACACACACACACACACACACACACACACACACACACUUUAUCCAUUCAAUAUGUACUUUUUUUUUGUACCAGGGAUCAAACUCAGGACUUUGCAGCACCACUGAGCUAAGUCCCCAGCCCUAAUAUGUAUUUUAAAUCAGUGAUAUUACACAUUUAAUAGUCUAGAGUAGAAUAUCAAUAUAAUUUUAUAUGCACUCAGAAACUUUGUGUGACUCGGUUAUAGCAAUAUUUGCUUUAUUGCAGUGGUCUGAAACCCAGCCUACAAUGUCUUCAAGAUACACCUGUACCCUGAUUUAAACAGCAGAGGAAUUUGUAAAAAGGAAAGCAGGUAGCCCACAAGAUCACCAUAAAUUAUACAUAUGCAAGUACAGGCCCAGUAUGGCAGAACAAGGUGACCUACCCUCAUGUUGGCUUCAGUGGAGGCCAAAGCAAGAACACUGGAGAUGACGGAAACUCUGAGGACUACGUGCAGCCAGAAAGCCAGGUGGUUGGAAAGCACUAGUGGAAACAUUGCCAGAGGGGUUAGAACGGUAGAGCAGAAACGUUUAGCUGGGAAAGCGCUGAAUGGUCAGGAAUUCUGUUCGUCCAGUGAAAGGGAGAAGGACCCGCGGAGUCAGUCCUACGGCCCGGAGCCCCUUCCUGCUCGGCGAGCCCGGAUCCCGGGAGCGCGAAAACCCCAGGCGCCUCCGCCGCGGCCGCCUUCACAAACAGCAGCCCUGCGAGUCAACCCUGCGCUUUAGAGUCCACACCAGCGGUGUCGCCACGGCUCCGGGUGAAGAGCUGUAACACGAAGAUGGCCCCGCGCCUUCUGUCCGGACCCGAGCCGGCGAAGAGCGCCCCCAAUGAAGCAACGCCGAGCGCCGAGGGCGCAGGCGCAGGAGAGCUGGGCGUCUACCCAGGGCGGGGCCUCCGGCUCGCGCCUUCCGAGCCGCAGGCCGUUUACUUUCA